GAUGAACGCUGGCGGCGUGCUUAACACAUGCAAGUCGAACGAUGAAGCCCAGCUUGCUGGGUGGAUUAGUGGCGAACGGGUGAGUAACACGUGAGUAACCUGCCCUUAACUCUGGGAUAAGCCUGGGAAACUGGGUCUAAUACCGGAUAGGAGCGUCCACCGCAUGGUGGGUGUUGGAAAGAUUUAUCGGUUUUGGAUGGACUCGCGGCCUAUCAGCUUGUUGGUGAGGUAAUGGCUCACCAAGGCGACGACGGGUAGCCGGCCUGAGAGGGUGACCGGCUACACUGGGACUGAGACACGGCCCAGACUCCUACGGGAGGCAGCAGUGGGGAAUAUUGCACAAUGGGCGCAAGCCUGAUGCAGCGACGCCGCGUGAGGGAUGACGGCCUUCGGGUUGUAAACCUCUUUCAGUAGGGAAGAAGCGAAAGUGACGGUACCUGCAGAAGAAGCACCGGCUAACUACGUG
This 466-nucleotide ribosomal RNA is filed under the name uncultured bacterium. Its description in RNAcentral is "partial 16S ribosomal RNA". It matches the Rfam family "Bacterial small subunit ribosomal RNA", at positions 28 to 507 of the family's 1533-position model. The record is from RNAcentral.